RNAcentral lists this non-coding RNA (28 nucleotides) under Homo sapiens (human). Lineage: Eukaryota; Metazoa; Chordata; Mammalia; Primates; Hominidae. The record is from RNAcentral.
UCACUGGGUAGCCGGACUAUGGAUGUGA